RNAcentral lists this ribosomal RNA (117 nucleotides) under Sinocyclocheilus grahami. Lineage: Eukaryota; Metazoa; Chordata; Actinopteri; Cypriniformes; Cyprinidae. The record is from RNAcentral.
GUGAGCAGCCAUAUCACCCUGCAGCCCAAGACUGGUUGCCAACUGAACCUAAGCAGGGUUGAGCCUGGUCAGUGCCUGGAUGGGAGACCUCCUGGGAAAACUAGGUUGCUGCUGGAA